GAGCUUGAAAAUCCAACACCGCAUGAAUUUCCAGAGUUACAGGAAGACACCCGAUGUGCACUUCUAGCCCCGGGGCAUGCAAAUAGUACAGCGUUGAGUUGGGUGGCAUAUGGUAGAGCCCAACUGACGACGGGUGCUACGGCGGGGCCACAUCAUUACUCGGUUGGGAUCUAUUCAGUGGUUGCGGGGUUCGAAGACAUCCCACUACCCGUACCGAUAGAGGAGGUUGAGAUAACAACGCUUUGGCAAGCUGUAGGUAGCUUCGUUGAUUGGCCACGUGCAUGGGUGAAGUUGAUUAAGGAGAUUUCGCAUGGAAGCAAAACUUCAAAGAGAAAGAGGGUGGAGAAGCCUAAAAGAAUUGAUCAACCUAAGAAGAAGCUAAGUGAACAACGG
Chenopodium quinoa (quinoa) is the source of this 393-nucleotide long non-coding RNA. RefSeq lists it as uncharacterized. The record is from RefSeq and is a predicted model, not a curated record. The transcript has 3 exons. Lineage: Eukaryota; Viridiplantae; Streptophyta; Magnoliopsida; Caryophyllales; Amaranthaceae.